GCGGAGUGAAACCCUGGACGUGUUGCGAGCAGGCCGCCCACUUGCACGCUGAGUGUGGUAGGCUCGCGACGGGCGUCGGUGCAACGUAACACUUCUUCCCAGGGAUUCAUCUGAGGCUGUGCUGCUCAGUCCUGAGAUGAAGAAGCGAGAAGAGAUGUGAACACAAAGCUGCUUACGUAGUCCUGGACGCCAUCGCCACAGUUGCACUGCAGACUAGUGUGGGUGAAAGCAUGGUCUGGAGGAGGUGCUGCAGGAGGUGGAGGGAUGACUGUGUUGCAUGGUGUUCAGGGGCACCAGGUGGAGGUGGAGGAUGCAGGUGAAGAGGUGGAGCGGAGAGCGCACGUGACGUACUGCCUGACGCCAGCGGAGGGGGCGGGGCCAUCGUCUGGCAGGGUGGAGCCAGAACGCGAGGAGCAAGAGGCUGCCCCGUCUACCUCCGUCGUUGCCCACUGCUGCAAUGCCGUCGCCAUCUGGUGCGAUGCCCCUACAACCGCCGCUUACGCACUCAUAGGCCUAUCGCGAUGCUGGUGGCAGUACACUGUGACGUCAUCCUCUGCGGGAGACAACAUGGGUGACGCAAUGCAAGAAGGCGUGGCCGCCGAGAUCAAGGGCGGGGCCAAACCUGGGGUUACCGAGGUCGGUUGGCCUCUGCCAUGCAGUCUGUCCUCUCUUCUCGCCAUGAACUGCCGGGCGCGGGCGGAGGGCCUUGCUCGCCGCCUACAGACAAGCCUUCGCGUGGGGUCAGGGGGCUCGGUGGCCCUCGAGCAGACGUCCCUGGUGACGCCGGGCCCGGAGGACCACUAUGCGUCCAUGGAGUGCCGCCAUGCCUCGCUGGACGACCCCCAGUUGGACCCGGUGGACGACCCGAACCUCCGCCCCAUUCACGUAGUGACGUCAGAGCCCUCCCUACGCCUCUGCCUCCCGUCCCCGCCCGCAUUGCCCAACGUGGCUGAGCAGGACUCGGACGUCUAUUAUGACUUCGACCUUGCCAGCCCGGAAGACGCACCUGAGGAUGAGGAAAAGGAAUGCGAUAACGUGAUAAAGAGAUACGAGAGACCCGAGAGCGGAUGCGCAACUUCCGUCACUUCGCCUGUUAUGUUCGACGAAGAGUGUGAGGACGACGGUGAAGAGAAACAAAAGGAUCAAGAGGAACGCACUCACUCGCAGGAGGCCAACAUGUGCACCUCAGAAGCCGAACUUCGCGUCAUGAGACAAAUCCUGUCGUCCUCCUCCCUGACGGACGUCCUCUCGCCGAUGGACAGGGCAGCCGAGACAGAUACCAAAGCCAUGUGUGAUGAUUCCAGCAGAUACCAAAGUGCGAAUGGCACAGCAAAGUGCGUGUGUGGGGCGUGCCAGUUCGAUGACGAGGGCGAGUGUGGGUGUUCCCCGGGGCACCUGGAGACCCAUUACAUUGUAACUCACUCGUGGGGGGAGCCAGAAGAAUCGUGUGCAGAUGAGAUCCCAGAGGGCGCUGCUAUGCCUGGAGACAGUUACGUCUCGCUAUCAAUGCAAGGAACAUCGCCAGUAGCCAACACAGACCCACGUUGGUGCCACCCCGGGUCGGGCACUCCGCCGGCAGUGCCACAUCCACCAGCUGAUCAACGCGCGGUGACCAUAACAAACGCAGGCAGUGGCGACAGUGAUGGUGCUGAAUGGGACAGAUAUGAAAAGAGUGAUGUGCAUAGACUUAGUGAGGCGGUAAUGACCAAUGAUAAGGGAUGGGACAAAGACAAGAAAGAUCAGAGCAAAAAUGUGUUGGGCGACGGGGAAGGGAACACCGUAUACUUUGCGGAGGUUACAGUGACAGAGAUCAGUGGUGAAGCUAAACCCGUGUGCAGUGAUGGUGAUGUAGAACUCAAAGCAGAUACUGACACUGAAGGGAAAAUAAUCCUGCAAAGCGCCUCAGAAACUGCCAGUGUCCCCCAGGCUAUUUCUGGCACGACACCCCCGCUCGCCGACCCUCACCUCUACACGCCCUCUGAAGGACAGCCCGCCGUCAUGGAGUCACGAGGGGAAGCCGAGGGGAGAGACGAGCUUUUUUGUAUGGACGCUGACGCCGAAGAGAUUGAGACUCUCGGGGAGGAUGAGGAGGAGAGCGACGACGAAGAGAACGAGGAGGACAUUGACGAGGAGGUGAUUCUCACUGGAAAGUUCCGCAACAUCCGCGGUUACACGGAGCGCGUUCGACGUCUGUCAGACGACAUCGAAGACAGAAUCUCACCCACGAGCAUCACAUACGAGGACAGCUGUUUCUGUGAGUCGCCGAAGUCCAGUAAGUCCUCGACCGCCUCAUCCGAAGUAAACGAUGGCGGCGAGGAACUGGCUGCACAACUGUCACAACUGGAGGUGGAAGAUGUGGAUGUUCAAGUGGACGACGAAGAGGUGGAAGAUGAUGCCCAGGCUGGAGAACGUUCCUCCUCAGAGGAGACUGACCCAGCCCGAGUAGAAGAUUUCAAACUGCGGAUCAAGCGUUCCUCUUCCUUGAAGUGCGGGAAGACGCCUCCUGGCACACCUGGACGCAAGAAAAUCGUGCGCUUUGCAGACAUGUUGGGACUCGAUUUAGCCGCGGUCAGGACUUUCCUUGCGGGCGUCCCGCACGUUCCACGUUCCGCCUUCUGGGACCUCGAACUGGAGCGCGAAGCAGCGGAGGCGGCGAAGUCUUCGUUCACACAGAACAUAGGGCCGACGCGCGUUCUCACGCCCCUGUUUCAGCAGCCUGGCUCGCAUCCCGACUUCCUGGAGCGCGUGCGGCAGCAGCGGGUGGUCGUGGAGAAUAUCGAAGUCGGUGAGGACCUGAGUGUGCGAGGGGUGGUGCGCGUGCUCAGCCUCGACUUCCACAAGAGCGUCUUCGUGAGGUACACCUUCGACCAGUGGCGCAAUUAUCACGAGGCGACAGCCGCGUACGUCCCCGGCUCCCACGACGGCCUCACCGACCGCUUCUCCUUCCUGCUGUGGGGCAACUUCCUGCAGGACGACGGGGCUCUCAUCUUCUGCGUCCGCUACCACACGCUCGGCCAAGAGUUCUGGGACAACAACCGCGGCCGGGACUACGUGCUGCAGUGCUACAAGACGUCGGGGGCGCCUGGAGGGCCCGGCAGAAUCGGCCCCACUGUCCCUCAGAACGUGAGCAGCGUCGAGGCGCACUACAGCGGAGGCAGGAACUUCAGCUCGAGGCCCAACAACUUCAACGACGUCUAUGGUACUUCGCCCACCACGCCCAGCGACCCAUGGGCGACCAGAUUCUUCUAGUUGAAUACAAAUCCAACAAAACAAGAAGUCCAACUUCUUGUCUCACGCGGAUCGCUGGACAUUCAUUCACAAAAUGUACACUCUACGAACGGCAGGGAAAGUGACACAGAAUUCAGCCAGCUGUGUCAUGGGAACGCGCCUGAUGUCUGCCUUGGACCAGGUUCUAGGCGUUCGGGUGCUCGAGGUCGGCGGCUCCCACACUUUUUGGGCUUUGCACCGGCCUGCAUACGUUCAGGCAUUCCGGGGAAUAAAGGAUGCCCUACAGAUAUGAUUAGCGCAUUUGAGGACAAUGUCGAAAUUUUCAUCAAAGUAAUAUUACGAUUGGAUGGUGGCUGAAUGCAAUGGGCCAGAAGACCUUCCCAGUCGCCCCCGCCCCUCGGGGUCCGCUCACAAACCUGCCUCCGCCAGAGAUUUUCACCGGCACUAUAUCGUCACGUCAUCACACCGUCACGUCACCACCACACACGACCCACCACAGAGUCAUGAUUUCACCGCAAACGAACUCAGCACCACAAGUCAAGCAGGCUGCUGAACAUAAUACGCUUUACAGAACGGUCGCGCUGCUCACGAAUUUCCUCCUCAAAUCCAAUCCCUCCUUUUCUGCCCUCGAGGCCCCGCGGGUCCCCGACGCCACCUCUCUCCUCUGCGGUGUCACGUUACCCCCCCGCCAACGCCUACCGCCGGCUCCUCCGCCUCAGCCUUGUUCUUCGGGCGCCGUCUUGCUGUCUGAGGCAAAGCCUGUUACCGAGACAAGCUGCACAAAUAAGUGAAUAUGAUAAGUGGAACGGUCCUUGCUGGUGCUACGGGAUUGCUGGUUAGGCACGGCUGAGGGUAGGUGUUGAUACGCUUGCAUUAUGUUUAUAUUUAUUUAUUAAAACACACACACACACACACACACACACACACACACACACACACACACACACACACACACACACACACACACACACACACACACACACAUACAUAUAUAGUGUAAUCUCCCUUAUGACGAGCCACAAAAACAAUUAGAUCAUUAAGGGGACAGCAAGCAAGUGUCAAGUACUCUUACAAAAGUGUUCGAAAGACUUUCAAGCAUGAGUGUGAUUCUAUAUCUUCUGUUCCGUAACUUGGCCAAAAAAGUGCCAAAAUGAUGAGAAGUUUCUCAAAGUCUUCUAGAUAUGAAUCUAUGAGAGAAAUGUAUAAAAUCAAACACGACAUUAACUGCCGCAA
RNAcentral lists this unclassified non-coding RNA (4461 nucleotides) under Penaeus japonicus. RNAcentral's name for it is "uncharacterized LOC122257265, transcript variant X3". The record is from RNAcentral. Lineage: Eukaryota; Metazoa; Arthropoda; Malacostraca; Decapoda; Penaeidae.